UUUCCGUAGGUGAACCUGCGGAAGGAUCAUUAAAGAAUGCCCCGUUUUUCGAAAUGGGUUCUAUUCCCAAACCGUGUCUACAUACCUUUGUUGCUUUGGCGGGCCGCCUUCGGGCGUUGGCCUCGGCUAAUUGUGCUCGCCAGAGGACCCAAACUCGUUUUGUUUAGUGAUGUCUGAGUACUAUAAAAUAGUUAAAACUUUCAACAACGGAUCUCUUGGUUCUGGGAUCGAUGAAGAACGCAGC
RNAcentral lists this unclassified non-coding RNA (244 nucleotides) under plant metagenome. RNAcentral describes it as "partial contains small subunit ribosomal RNA, internal transcribed spacer 1, and 5.8S ribosomal RNA". The stretch from base 196 to 244 matches the Rfam family "5.8S ribosomal RNA", at positions 1 to 49 of the family's 154-position model. The record is from RNAcentral.